GCGAACAUAGUUUAAUCAAAACCUUAGAUUGUGAUUCUAACAAUAGAGGUUCAAACCCUCUUGUUCACC
RNAcentral lists this transfer RNA (69 nucleotides) under Johnius amblycephalus (bearded croaker). Its description in RNAcentral is "tRNA-His". It matches the Rfam family "tRNA". Rfam says of the family: Transfer RNA (tRNA) molecules are approximately 80 nucleotides in length. Their secondary structure includes four short double-helical elements and three loops (D, anti-codon, and T loops). Lineage: Eukaryota; Metazoa; Chordata; Actinopteri; Sciaenidae. The record is from RNAcentral.